Molecule: transfer RNA, 88 nt
Filed under: Leifsonia xyli subsp. xyli str. CTCB07
Lineage: Bacteria; Bacillati; Actinomycetota; Actinomycetes; Micrococcales; Microbacteriaceae
Description: tRNA-Tyr
Rfam family: tRNA
About the family: Transfer RNA (tRNA) molecules are approximately 80 nucleotides in length. Their secondary structure includes four short double-helical elements and three loops (D, anti-codon, and T loops). Further hydrogen bonds mediate the characteristic L-shaped molecular structure. tRNAs have two regions of fundamental functional importance: the anti-codon, which is responsible for specific mRNA codon recognition, and the 3' end, to which the tRNAs corresponding amino acid is attached (by aminoacyl-tRNA synthetases). tRNAs cope with the degeneracy of the genetic code in two manners: having more than one tRNA (with a specific anti-codon) for a particular amino acid; and 'wobble' base-pairing, i.e. permitting non-standard base-pairing at the 3rd anti-codon position.
Source: RNAcentral
GGCGAGUUACCCAAGCGGCCAAAGGGAUCUGACUGUAAAUCAGCUGUCUACGACUUCGGGGGUUCGAAUCCCUCACUCGCCACCGAGA